Molecule: ribosomal RNA, 247 nt
Filed under: uncultured bacterium
Lineage: Bacteria
Description: partial 16S ribosomal RNA
Rfam family: Bacterial small subunit ribosomal RNA
Source: RNAcentral
GCAAGUCGAGGGGCAGCACAUCUUCGGAUGGUUGCGACCGGCGCACGGGUGCGUAACGCGUAUAGAACCUACCUUUUACAGGGGGAUAGCCCUUAGAAAUGAAGAUUAAUAUCCCAUGGUAUUAUAGAUUGGCAUCAAUUUAUAAUUAAAGAUUUAUCGGUAAAAGAUGGCUAUGCGUCCUAUUAGUUAGAUGGUAAGGUAACGGCUUACCAUGACUAUGAUAGGUAGGGGUCCUGAGAGGGGGAUC